GUGCUCACUUCAGCAGCACAUACACUAAAAAUUGGAACAAUACAGACAAGAUUAGCAUGGCCCCUGCUCAACGAUGACACACAAAUCCAUGAAGCGUUCCAUAUUUCU
Molecule: small nuclear RNA, 108 nt
Organism: Mesoplodon densirostris (Blainville's beaked whale)
Lineage: Eukaryota; Metazoa; Chordata; Mammalia; Artiodactyla; Ziphiidae
Source: RefSeq, a predicted model, not a curated record